This 435-nucleotide ribosomal RNA is filed under the name uncultured bacterium. RNAcentral's name for it is "partial 16S ribosomal RNA". It matches the Rfam family "Bacterial small subunit ribosomal RNA", at positions 29 to 507 of the family's 1533-position model. The record is from RNAcentral.
AACGAACGCUGGCGGCAUGCCUAACACAUGCAAGUCGAACGAUUGCCCUCGGGUGUUGGUGGCUCACGGGUGCGUAACGCGUGGGAAUCUGCCCUUAGGUUCGGACUAACAGCUGGAAACGGCUGCUAAUACCGGAGGAUAUCACGAGAUCAAAGCUGUAUCUCCAGAGGAUGAGGUGGCGUUGGAUUGGGUAGGUGGAUGGGUAAAGGCCUACCAAGCCGACGAUCCAUAGCUGGUCUGAGAGGAUGAUCAGCCACACUGGGGCUGAGACACGGCCCAGACUGGUACGGGAGGGAGCAGUGGGGAAUAUUGGAGGAGGAGCGCAAGUCUGAUCCAGCCACGCCGGGUAAGUGAUGAAGGCGGUAGGGUUGUAAAGCCGUUUUAGCCGGGAAGAUAAUGACGGUACCGGGUGAAUAAGCCCCGGCUAACUCCGUG